UUAAUAGCCGUGUUUCGAGUUACUCCGGAACACAGUGUUUAUUCUGUGUUUAGUCACGCCGCGUCAAAAAUGUUCCACAGGGUUACUUCCGGUUUAUCGUUGUUUACCUUUGUUUACCAACAGUCGACACUUCGUGUAUUAGGCCUAGGCUUAAUUUUGUCGAUCAUCAUGAAAUUGAAAUACACAUUUAAUAGUUUGGGGUGUAUGCGGUACAUAUUUGUUUAUGAGCGUUUGAUAAGCUACUAUUGAUCUACGAAAUACAACGAAAGACUUCGUCAAGAACAGAAGACGAUGUCGUGUAACUCACACAAGGCCCGGCCCAGCUGUCUAGUAACCGGAGGGGUAAAGGAAAAGAACGUAUUAGACUCACUGAAACCUGUCAAACUGGUUAAUGGGAACAGGAUAAUUUUCCAUGCCUUUCACUUGAGGUCUUCAGUUUCAUCAUUAAUCAUCUGAAUGUCGGUAUGCCAAACUCUCAUGAUGUCAUGCCAUUACUGGAUAUUCCUUAACACUGGUUUAUUUAAACCACACUACCUAUAACAUUGCCAAAUAUUAGACUGAAAAUUUUCAAAUACACAAGAUUUGAAGCAGCAAAAGAAAAGAAUUACAUAUGUAUAACACACAAAAAAGAAGAAAUUAAUUCUCACCUGGCUGAUAUGAACUUUUUACUCCUUUUUAGCUCCCUUUCACUGCAUACCAGCCAAUAACUAGCAGUCAUUAUAUGCAGAUCAGCCAUUGUUAUCAACCUGUGUAUAUAUAUGUUGAAUAAAAUAUGAAUGAAAA
Molecule: long non-coding RNA, 783 nt
Organism: Ostrea edulis (European flat oyster)
Lineage: Eukaryota; Metazoa; Mollusca; Bivalvia; Ostreida; Ostreidae
Exons: 2
Source: RefSeq, a predicted model, not a curated record